UUUAGGACUUUGUGGACAAUUUUCCCCGCUCUUUCUAUUCAUCUCAUCUGCUCGUGUGAGACCAAAAGAAGAACGACACGGAGAAACUUUUUUAAGAGGAUCAGAUGCUGAAGUGGGGCGACCAAGCUCUUAGAGAGAAGAUGAUGACUAGUGCGACGAUGGAGAUUGGGGAAAGUGAUGGGCGGCAGCGAAGCACUGCCUCUCCUGUUAUUGAACCCCGUCUCGCCGAUGUGCCGAUCCAUGUGGGACUCGGUGAGGUUCUACGAGGACGUUCUGGGCUUCGUCCUCGUCAAACGCCCUUCUUCUUUCGACUUCAAUGGAGCUCGGCUAUACAACUAUGGAAAAGGGAUACACUUGAUUGAGAACCCAUCGAUUGAGGAAAACGACGCCAUUUGACGAGCCGCGUCCAAUCAACCCCAAAGAUAACCAUAUGUCUUUCCGUGUAAGUUUGAUACAGCAUAAGUCUCCAUUAACUGGGAGAACGGUAAGGCACAAUUGAAUUUGAAUUACAAGUCCUAGUUGUUCAAUUGUUAA
Long non-coding RNA from Syzygium oleosum, 534 nucleotides. RefSeq lists it as uncharacterized. The record is from RefSeq and is a predicted model, not a curated record. Lineage: Eukaryota; Viridiplantae; Streptophyta; Magnoliopsida; Myrtales; Myrtaceae. The transcript is spliced from 2 exons.